GAAUGAAAGAAGCAUGAUAAUGUGCACAAAAAUUAAUUUGGGUCUCUAGACCCGCUCUCUCUGAUGCCUUCUAGCUUUGAUUGGGGGCAUGAUUUCACAGCAAAACA
Small nucleolar RNA from Rhododendron vialii, 107 nucleotides. RefSeq annotates it as small nucleolar RNA snoR100. The record is from RefSeq and is a predicted model, not a curated record. The transcript has a single exon. NCBI's taxonomy places the organism in Eukaryota, Viridiplantae, Streptophyta, Magnoliopsida, Ericales, Ericaceae.